Molecule: ribosomal RNA, 279 nt
Filed under: uncultured bacterium
Lineage: Bacteria
Description: partial 16S ribosomal RNA
Rfam family: Bacterial small subunit ribosomal RNA
Source: RNAcentral
UGCCAGCAGCCGCGGUAAUACGGAGGGGGUUAGCGUUGUUCGGAAUUACUGGGCGUAAGGCGUACGUAGGCGGACCAUUAAGUAAGGGGUGAAAUCCCAGGGCUCAACCCUGGAACUGCCUCUUAAACUGCUGGUCUUGAGUUCGAGAGAGGUGAGUGGAAUUCCGAGUGUAGGGGUGAAAUUCGUAGAUAUUCGGAGGAACACCAGUGGCGAAGGCGGCUCACUGGCUCGAUACUGACGCUGAGGUGCGAAAGUGUGGGGAGCAAACAGGAUUAGAUA